Long non-coding RNA from Solea solea (common sole), 1666 nucleotides. RefSeq lists it as uncharacterized. The record is from RefSeq and is a predicted model, not a curated record. The transcript has 3 exons. NCBI's taxonomy places the organism in Eukaryota, Metazoa, Chordata, Actinopteri, Pleuronectiformes, Soleidae.
AGUCUUUGUCUGCUGGCUGGGGUAGACCUAUUUUUGCAUUCACAUUAUAUGGGUAAUAUAUAGAAACCCAUAUGUUAAGUGAUAUACUUCAUUUAUUCCUAAAUCCUACCAAACUAACUUCAGAUCAGCACAUUCACACAUGGACCUUGUGGAUUUCGGGCUGAUUCUGUCUUAGACCUGGCAACCCUGAUGCAGCGUCCCAUUGCUGUCCCCCCCCCCCCUCGGUAAGUACACUGAUAAAUGAAUUAGACAGGUGACAUAUGGAGAUAAAAUCCUUAAAUGUACGCCUUAAAAUGUGUCAGGUGAAGAAAAGAAGUUGUUGUUAGCAUCUUUAGGAGAGCAGGGUAGUCAUUUGGUGUAACUGUGAAUUAUUGAAGACAUUGAGGUAUAACUUGCUGCACCAAAUGCACGUAGGGUUAGCUAACACGUGAUGCUGUAAGCCAGUAGUUAGCACAUGAUGCUUUUUCCGUGCUCAAUUCAACUUUAUGUUAUAUAGGUAGGCCCACCACUUCAUUUGAAGGGCUGUAGAAGACUGACAUGAAACUGUCAGAACCAUUUGUACACUGGCUUACUGGGUCAAAGUUUGGAUUGAUUGAUUUGAUUUGACCAUUAUUGAUAUAGUAUGAAUCAAGCACUCUGUGUGUCAUAGAUUCAAAUACAAAAUAGUCAGGGAUGACACAAUAAAGCCCAUAGGCUCAUUUCCAUUGUGGUCCCUAGCACAAUGGAAUCAUUCUGGGCACAGUCAUAGUAAAAUAGUACAAUGUAAAUAGAAUAGAAUAUAGGCUAUACAUAAUUGCUUUAUAACUUAGCAGUCCAGCAUAUGAUAAAUGGAGAGGGAGAGUAGUGAUUCAUUGUUAUUUAAACCUGCAUGCCUAUGAAGCCCAUUUGAAUUGAAUUGAAUUGAAAUGACUAGUGUGAACGGUCAGUAUGUUGGUAGUCUUAAGUAUGAUGUCAACGUUCUGAUGAGGAGAACACAGAUGUCAAAUCUAGGCUGUUCAAUUCUGAAUAGUUGGUUCAAAGUGUUUUCUCUCCAACAGGUCCUUCAAUUGUCUUCUUCCAUUUGUCCCUCCUUGAAGCAUCGUUUCUAAAACGCAAACCAAAGGCACUUUUUAGAGCCACGUCUGUCUGUCUUGUUAUCCUGUCCGUGCUGUGUUGUACUUGUCAGUCUUUCUGUUGCUGUUUGUGUAUCUUUCUGUCAGUAUUAAGUUCUUGUCUGUAAAAAAAUAUCUUGUUAUCUGUCAUGUUUUUGUUUAUAUCAGUGUGUGUCAUGACACGUCCAAAGUUCAGGCCCUGUCCAUCUUGCCAGACACUCAAUGCUGCAAGCCUCAAAACUUGCAGCAUGUGUUAUGUGAGCCUGUCAAUGAAGAAGAAGUUGAAGGAAAAGACAGCAUCAUUGGACAGCAAGUGGGGUCAAGGUAUCGUCCCAAACCGGAAUGUUGGCCGCAUUAUUGAUUCAGCCCGUAUUGCAGUGCGAAAACUUGAGGCCAUAGGCUACAAGCCCAUUUUAUUUAUGGGAAAAAAAGACAAGAAGGCCUCUAACAAGUGGGUAGCUGACAUAAUAACCCAUUUGCCCCUCACAUCUACCACCAAAAACUUCUUGGAGAAGAUGAGGAGGGCUUAUGAAUUUCUUUUGACUAAGGAACAGCAGCCCAACACUGACCCAUCA